GAGGGGGAUGGUUGUUAUUGAACAAGACAAUGUCUUAACAGAUCUUGGCAACUCCUUUAAAGAUAAUAGAUCUUUACGAUUAAUUUACCUACCCUAUUUGCUCUCCUGCCUUUGUAGCCCCGUUUGCGAUGUCUUGCUCAUAUAGUUCGGAGGUUGGAGGAUCCUGUACAGUUCAUUCAAACGAUUAUUCCAGAGGUCAUACUCUGUACCAAAGAAGUUGCAGUCAAAGCUCGUUCGUCGGCGUUCACUUUACUGAUCGAGUGCUGUAACGCCAGUUUCCGUUCUUCGGGAAAGACAAGACAAGAAUGUCUGACGUCAUUCUUGGAGUUGGUGGUUGCUGGUAUCGCGGGCUCACCUCACAUGAUCAGCGCAACUAUAAUUUCCGUGUCUAGAGUGGUGUACGAGUUUCGAAACGAGAUUCCCAGUGUAAUCCUGGAGCAGCUUAUUCAGGGAAUUCUUGUUUGCCUGAGAUCUGUUGCUAGGGAGGUGAUAAAGUCCUGUCUUGGUUUCUUUAA
This is a long non-coding RNA of Orbicella faveolata, 515 nucleotides long. The record is from RefSeq and is a predicted model, not a curated record. NCBI's taxonomy places the organism in Eukaryota, Metazoa, Cnidaria, Anthozoa, Scleractinia, Merulinidae.